UUUUUUUUUUUUUUUUUAGUGACAGUUGUAAGAGCGUUAAAAAAGGGGGGGGGCGUGCUGACAAAUUUAUCUGUGAACACUUGAAUACACUUGGCUCUCCAUGUCCAUGAGUUCCGCAUCUGCAGAUUCAACCAACCAGAGAAUGAAAACAUUUCCAGAAAAAAAAAAGAAUUCCAGAAGGUUCCAAAAAGUAAAACUUGAAUUUGUCAAGGUUACAAACUAUGUUGUAUUUACAGCUGUUUACGUAUCAUUUACAUUGUAUUAAUGGUAGUAUCAGUAAUCUAGAGAUGAUUUAUAGAUAUGGGUAGGAUGUACUGUUAAUAUACAAAUACCUUACCAUUUUAUGUAAGGGACUUCAGCAUCUGCCGGUUUUGUUGUGUUGGGACUGAAAGUCCUGGAAUCAGCCCCAUGGAUUCCAAGGUAUGUCUGUAUGUUAAGACAAUGGAGAAGAGGAAACAUUGGCGGACUCUUAGAAUGAUGGCCUAAAUACUUUUGUAAUUUGGAGCCCAGAUUUCAUGAUUUGAGUUUCAUGUUGGAAACUUAAUAGAGAAAGAAGGUCAUUGUUCUCUAAAGUUUUUUCUUAAGGCAAGACAACAUUCAUUAUCACUGUAUGACAUACUUCUCUGUGCUUUUAAGACGAAGUACUGGGAGUUCCUGUCGUGGCUCAGUGGAAACAAAUCUGACUAGUAUCCAUGAAGACGCAGGUACAAUUCCUGGCCUUGCUCAGUGGUUAAGGAUCUGGCGUUGCUGUGAGCUGUGGUAUAGGUUGCAGACGCAGCUCAGAUCUGGCAUUACUGUAGCUGGGUCGAAUCGGAGCUGUAGCCACCGGCCUACGCCAGAGCCACAGCAACGCAGGAUCCGAGCCGCGUCUGCAGCCUACACCACAGCUCAUGGCAAUGCCGGAUCGUUAACCCACUGAGCAAGGGCAGGGAUCGAACCCGCAACCACAUGGUUCCUAGUCGGAUUCGUUAACCACUGUACCAUGACGGGAACUCCCCAUUUUUUGUUUCUUAUGUAGUAACUUCAAGAGCAAGAAGGUGUUUAGCAGAGUGCCUGGUACAUAGUAGGUGGUUGGUAAAGGGAGGCUGAACAAAUGUAUCCAUUGAAAGUAUUUAAAUUAUAGUAAAAUUAUGCAAAAAAUUAUGAGGGCAUUCUCUACAUAUAUAUUUUCCAUUAAAAGAAAUGACAUGUGGAGUUCCCUCUGUAGCACUGCAGGUUAAGGUGUUGUCUCUUUGGUGGUACAGGUUCGAUCCCCAGCCUGGUGCAGUGAUCCUGUGUUGUCACAGAUGUGACGUAAGUUGCAGCUGAAGCUUGGAUUUGAUCCCUGGCCCAGGAACUUCCAUAUGCUGCAGAUGUGGUCAUUAAAAAAAAAAAAAAAAAAAAAAAAAAAAAAAAGGAGGAAAGGCUUAUGCUCUCUAAGUCUGAAAUGAUCUCAAAAUAUAAAGUUUAAAACAAAACAAAACUCAGUUCCCGUCGUGGCUCAGUGGUAACAAACCUGACUAGUAUCCAAGUGGACAUGGGUUUGAUCCCUGACCUUGCUCAGUGGGUUAAGGAUCUGGCAUUGCCAUGAGCUGUGAUAUAGGUCACAAACGUGGCUCAGAUCCUAUGUUGCUGUGGCUGUGGCAUAGGCCAGCAUUUGCAGCUCCAGUUCAACCCCUAGCCUGAACUUACAUAUGCCUCGAGUGUGGCCCCCAAAAGACAAAAAUUAAAUUAAAGAGGGUACCUUAAAAAAAAAAAAAAAA
RNAcentral lists this long non-coding RNA (1742 nucleotides) under Sus scrofa (pig). Its description in RNAcentral is "lncRNA (ENSSSCG00005003818.1)". Lineage: Eukaryota; Metazoa; Chordata; Mammalia; Artiodactyla; Suidae. The record is from RNAcentral.